UACGAAGGGGGCUAGCGUUGCUCGGAAUUACUGGGCGUAAAGGGAGCGUAGGCGGACAUUUAAGUCAGGGGUGAAAUCCCGGGGCUCAACCACAGAAUUGCCUUUGAUACUGUUUGGCUAGAGACCGGAAGAGGUAAGUGGAACUGCGAGUGUAGAGGUGAAAUUCGUAGAUAUUCGCAAGAACACCAGUGGCGAAGGCGGCUUACUGGUCCGGUUCUGACGCUGAGGCGCGAAAGCGUGGGGAGCAAACAGG
Molecule: ribosomal RNA, 253 nt
Filed under: uncultured bacterium
Lineage: Bacteria
Description: partial 16S ribosomal RNA
Rfam family: Bacterial small subunit ribosomal RNA
Source: RNAcentral